This 455-nucleotide ribosomal RNA is filed under the name uncultured bacterium. RNAcentral's name for it is "bacterial SSU rRNA". It matches the Rfam family "Bacterial small subunit ribosomal RNA", at positions 29 to 526 of the family's 1533-position model. The record is from RNAcentral.
AGCGAACGCUGGCGGCAGGCUUAACACAUGCAAGUCGAACGCUCGUCUUCGGACGGGAGUGGCAGACGGGUGAGUAACACGUGGGAACGUACCCUUUGGUUCGGAAUAACUUGAGGAAACUUGAGCUAAUACCGGAUACGCCCUUUUGGGGAAAGGCUUGACUGCCGAAGGAUCGGCCCGCGUCUGAUUAGCUAGUUGGUGGGGUAACGGCCUACCAAGGCGACGAUCAGUAGCUGGUCUGAGAGGAUGAUCAGCCACACUGGGACUGAGACACGGCCCAGACUCCUACGGGAGGCAGCAGUGGGGAAUAUUGGACAAUGGGCGCAAGCCUGAUCCAGCCAUGCCGCGUGAGUGAUGAAGGCCUUAGGGUUGUAAAGCUCUUUUGUCCGGGACGAUAAUGACGGUACCGGAAGAAUAAGCCCCGGCUAACUUCGUGCCAGCCGCCGCCGUAAAAC